This 69-nucleotide transfer RNA is filed under the name Aeolothrips indicus. Its description in RNAcentral is "tRNA-Trp". Lineage: Eukaryota; Metazoa; Arthropoda; Insecta; Thysanoptera; Aeolothripidae. The record is from RNAcentral.
AAGAUUUUAAGUUAAAAAAACUAUUAAUCUUCAAAAUUAAAAUUAAUUUACCAUAAUAAUUAAAUCUUG